ACUGAUGUCGUAAAUGAAACUGUUUUUUAAAUCUCAGGCUGCAGGGGUCAGGCAGCCUGGGCACAGAGGUUGGGUGACUGGGACACAGAAGCCAAUCUGUGUUGGGUCACAGAGGUCAGGCCGUGCUGGGGCACAGAGGACAGGCCUUUCUGGGGCACAGAGGUCAGGCCUUUCUGGGCACAGAGGUCAGGCCGUGCUGGGGCACAGAGGACAGGCCUUUCUGAGGCACAGAGGACAGGCCUUUCUGGGCACAGAGGUCAGGCCUUUCUGGGGCACAGAGGUCAGGCCGUGCUGGGGCACAGAGGUCAGGCCUUUCUGGGCACAGAGGUCAGGCCUUUCUGGGGC
Leopardus geoffroyi (Geoffroy's cat) is the source of this 345-nucleotide long non-coding RNA. RefSeq lists it as uncharacterized. The record is from RefSeq and is a predicted model, not a curated record. Lineage: Eukaryota; Metazoa; Chordata; Mammalia; Carnivora; Felidae. The transcript has 3 exons.